AUUUUAAUCUUGUUUGAGAGUCUCAUUCAGAAAUUUAGCCCAAAUUUUUACACCCCAAUUUAGGGUGUAAAUUGGGUGUAAACAGAGGGGAAGGGAAGCAAGGGGAAUUUUUUCCCUCCUUCGCCCUCCUUCGCAAACACACCAUUUGUUUCUGUCUCAUUCUCGCUUUACCCUUUCUCCGUAACCGAGCGGGAUUAGUUGAUAGGGUGUCUCCCUCGUUCGUUCAAUUUCUUCAGGGAAAUCCUGCAGUUGCGGAGUUCUUUUCGAGGGGUGUUAUAGACUAUGAUGUUGGAUGAGUGGAGUUCAUCAUGGCAACGAAAUUCUCCACAAAAGCGCUAUCAUCAAUCACCAUAUCAUGACGCUUUCCUAGUGUAUCAUCAAGAUCUUCGCACUGUGAAUAACCAUCUGGAACUAAAGAUACACAAGUGUAGUAGCUAGAUGUCUUACACGGACUUCUUCAAACUAUUUUUGUCACUGGUUGUCUGGUGCAUUGCCUAUGCUACAGUUGCAAUUCUUGUCUCCAUCAGACUUUGUAAUUCUACCCACACCUAUAUAUUAUGAACUAGCAAAGAGUUCAAUAUAUCUUCCAUGGUCUUUAUACAGUCUACGGGCAUACAUUAACUUUCAGAUGAUACAAUGAAUGCUGCAGGACAGGUUUGUGCAAGUAAGGGAAGUCUAUUUGUUCUCACUGACAAGGGAUCUGUUCUUUUUUCAUUGGGAUGGAUCGGUUCUAAAGCUUGGGCUUUUCUGACAAGUGGUAUUCAGAUAAAGUUUGAAAUGAAAAUUCCCUGAAAAAUUAUAAUCCCUUUACAUCUUUUAAAGUAUAACGCUGACUGUUGCUAUAACUAACCAAGGUUAUCGAUAUAUUUGGUGACAAAGAGAAGCAACAGCAUGUCAGGGGUCCUAAAGCACACUGAGAUCAUGAUGAACAGAUAAAAAGGAUGAUGUGCAGUUAUCGAUGAGAAGAUGCAUAUUUUUAGCAAGGAGUGUAUGUGGUAGUUUCUUCUGGUUCUGUAUAAUGAAUUUUGUCUUCUGUCAGUUACAAGUAAUCAUCUUAAAAGUAACCGAAACAUGUUAUGGAGUAAGACAUCCAAGAUGUUGUUUCACAUGAAAAGUAUACUGAAUACAUUGUUAUUUGCUUUUAUGUUUUCAUAUUGAAUAAAUUUGAGGCUUUUGAUAUAUUGAGAUAUUAUUUAUUUCGGACA
Asparagus officinalis (garden asparagus) is the source of this 1205-nucleotide long non-coding RNA. RefSeq lists it as uncharacterized. The transcript is spliced from 4 exons. The record is from RefSeq and is a predicted model, not a curated record. Lineage: Eukaryota; Viridiplantae; Streptophyta; Magnoliopsida; Asparagales; Asparagaceae.